Molecule: small RNA, 27 nt
Filed under: Bombyx mori (domestic silkworm)
Lineage: Eukaryota; Metazoa; Arthropoda; Insecta; Lepidoptera; Bombycidae
Description: ovarian small RNA-30213
Source: RNAcentral
UCUUGUAAAGGUUGUUCUGGUGAAUCU